RNAcentral lists this long non-coding RNA (367 nucleotides) under Oryctolagus cuniculus (rabbit). Its description in RNAcentral is "lncRNA (ENSOCUG00000038275.1)". Lineage: Eukaryota; Metazoa; Chordata; Mammalia; Lagomorpha; Leporidae. The record is from RNAcentral.
UUCCCCUCUGAGGGUCACAUCCUUCAUUGUACGAGGGGUCUUCAGGAAGCUUCUGGAAAAUGAUAUUAUGGGGAAAAAAACACAUAGAGAUUUCCAUUUUUUUUUCACCAAAAUAAGCUUUCUUUUGGUUCCACUUUGCAGGAACUUUCGGAGGUCCCCUCGCGUAUGGGCCCAGCGUUGUCUUGUGCUGCAGAGAUCUUGUGCUGAGAUUGUUUCAACUCAGUACGGAAGGACUCUGCCCGUGACGGAAAGCAAAAUACAAGUUUGUUUAGAGAUGACAGAUGACACUUUUCCUGUGUGUCUCGGUGGGAAAGGACCUGCAACACUUUGUUCAAUUCCACCUGAAGCCAAAUUGCUAAGCAGUUAA